This 373-nucleotide unclassified non-coding RNA is filed under the name soil metagenome. RNAcentral describes it as "partial contains 5.8S ribosomal RNA, internal transcribed spacer 2, and large subunit ribosomal RNA". The stretch from base 1 to 121 matches the Rfam family "5.8S ribosomal RNA", at positions 35 to 154 of the family's 154-position model. The record is from RNAcentral.
GAUGAAGAACGCAGCGAAAUGCGAUAAGUAAUGCGAAUUGCAGAAUUCCAGUGAGUCAUCGAAUCUUUGAACGCACAUUGCGCCCUUUGGUAUUCCGAAGGGCAUGCCUGUUCGAGCGUCAUUAUCACCCCUCAAGCCCUCGGCUUGGUGUUGGACGGUUUGGUGGAGGCCCCCUCGGGGGCUCCUGCCCCUCCCAAAGACAAUGACGGCGGCCUCGUUGGACCCCCGGUACACUGAGUUCUUCACGGGACACGUAUCGGACACAUGGGUUUACGGGACACGGUCUGCCUCCCCUCAGGGAGAAUCUCUCUAAGGUUGACCUCGGAUCAGGUAGGGAUACCCGCUGAACUUAAGCAUAUCAAUAAGCGGAGGA